Molecule: ribosomal RNA, 250 nt
Filed under: uncultured bacterium
Lineage: Bacteria
Description: partial 16S ribosomal RNA
Rfam family: Bacterial small subunit ribosomal RNA
Source: RNAcentral
UACGGAGGGUGCAAGCGUUAAUCGGAAUAACUGGGCGUAAAGCGCACGCAGGCGGUUAGAUAAGUCAGAUGUGAAAGCCCCGGGCUCAACCUGGGAACUGCAUUUGAAACUGUCUGACUAGAGUCUUGUAGAGGGGGGUAGAAUUCCAGGUGUAGCGGUGAAAUGCGUAGAGAUCUGGAGGAAUACCGGUGGCGAAGGCGGCCCCCUGGACAAAGACUGACGCUGAUGCUCGAAAGUGUGGGUAUCAAAC